Long non-coding RNA from Prunus dulcis (almond), 486 nucleotides. RefSeq lists it as uncharacterized. Lineage: Eukaryota; Viridiplantae; Streptophyta; Magnoliopsida; Rosales; Rosaceae. The record is from RefSeq and is a predicted model, not a curated record. The transcript has 2 exons.
AACGACGACGUGUACUGGUAUCGUCGUCCAGAACCAGAACGAGUGCCUUGUAUCGUCGUCUACAGCGCUGCAUGGUGUUUGAUACGAGCUCCAUUGUUCGACGGACGAUUUGUUUGUGCUGUGGAAGCGAUUGAAAAUUUCUCUAAUCGCAUAGAAAAAUCCUGGUUAAUUCUAAGGCAUGGUUUAUUGAUGUUUUCUGGAUAGAAAUCAGCUAAAGGGAAGUAUUUCAUCUUCUAGUCUUUGACAUUAAAAUAUGAAGAGCAUGGGGCAGAUCAGCGCAGGCCCUUGGUUGUUGGAUUGUCAUUUUAUUAUUUGUGGAUGUUUUAUUGGAUCACUGAUCCGAGAAUAAUAUCCCACCAUGAUUAUGUUUAGUUGUUGUAUUCCAUUGAUUGGGUUAAUGGACUGUCCAAAAAAAAUGUACAUAUCUGUAGACAUUUUCACGCAAAUGAACUUGAGUGAAGUAGUUCAAAAUAUUUUGAUGUAAUA